Molecule: long non-coding RNA, 596 nt
Filed under: Microcebus murinus (gray mouse lemur)
Lineage: Eukaryota; Metazoa; Chordata; Mammalia; Primates; Cheirogaleidae
Description: lncRNA (ENSMICG00000048621.1)
Source: RNAcentral
GUCUGAUUGAAAGGGGGGUUGUGACUGAACAAGAACAAGAAUGGGGAUCUUUUGCAGGUGGAUAAAUUAGCACUUGAGACUUGUGUCUCUCUUCUGGAAGGAAGGUGCUUGUGUCUGCAACUGUACUUGUGAUAGUUGCGUAAGUGUAGGCGGGAGCACUGCGCUUUAUUGUUUUUAUUUGGAGGUUGAAUACGGGCAAAUCGGAUGCAUGGAUUCCCCCUUCAUAAAAUGUUCAUAUUUUCAUCGUUUCCAUAAAUGCAGUGGAUCAAUCUGCUUUGGGCCCAGCAAGAUCGGUCCCUGUGAUGCCCAGACCGUGCGGCAUCCUUGAAGGCCACGGCACGCACGUCCACCUCCACCGCGUCUAACCGGGAGUCCGUGUGCCCCGGAGGCAUGCCAUCUUCCCUCGUAUCUUGUUGGUCACCUCUCGGGUGACACACUUGAGGUACCUGGAAGUUUGCACUCAUAUCCGAAUUUCUCUUAAUCAGUCUCUGCUUCAUUUUAUCCGUUGCUGAAACACAAACGCUAAUUAUUAUCUCCCUGCUUACUAAAAGGAGCUUGUGCGUAUUCUGUCUUUACGCAGACCAUCUAGACAGAUA